ACAUGUAGAUGAAGGGGAGGAGACAUGUAGAUGAAGGGGAGGAGACAUGUAGAUGAAGGGGAGGAGACAUGUAGAUGAAGGGGAGGAAACAUGUAGGUGAAGGGGAGGAGACAUGUAGAUGAAGGGGAGGAGACAUGUAGAUGAAGGGGAGGAGACAUGUAGAUGAAGGGGAGGAGACAUGUAGAUGAAGGGGAGGAGACAUGUAGAUGAAGGGGAGGAGACAUGUAGAUGAAGGGGAGGAGACAUGUAGAUGAAGGGGAGGAGACAUGUAGAUGAAGGGGAGGAGACAUGUAGGUGAAGGGGAGGAGACAUGUAGGUGAAGGGGAGGAGACAUGUAGAUGAAGGGGAGGAGACAUGUAGA
Long non-coding RNA from Oncorhynchus keta (chum salmon), 361 nucleotides. RefSeq lists it as uncharacterized. NCBI's taxonomy places the organism in Eukaryota, Metazoa, Chordata, Actinopteri, Salmoniformes, Salmonidae. The record is from RefSeq and is a predicted model, not a curated record. The transcript is spliced from 3 exons.